Molecule: non-coding RNA, 115 nt
Organism: Kwoniella dejecticola CBS 10117
Lineage: Eukaryota; Fungi; Basidiomycota; Tremellomycetes; Tremellales; Cryptococcaceae
Source: the annotation of a GenBank genome assembly
UACGGUCAUAGAACUUGAAAAACGCCAGAUCCCGUCCGCUCUCUGAAGCUAAGUCAAGUAUCGCUCGGUCAGUACCAAGGUGGGGGACCACUUGGGAAUCCCGAGUAUCGUAGUU